GCGAGCGGUCGUGGGAGUCCUGCCUGCUCUGGCUCCGCCCUGGGCCGGGGGGCGGCAUCCACCGUGGAAACAAGCAUCGCAGUACCAGCCCUGAACUUUCACCCGGGCCGUGCCCCUCUGCGCAAGAGCGUCGUUGCCCUGGUGACGUGAAGUUCUUCCGCUGGAUCGUGCUCACCGAGCUGAUAGACGUGCGUCCGCCAUUUUGCGAAUGUCCGGUCACCUGAUGUCGGGUGGAGUAGUCUGUCGGCCUGCUCAAGGGUGUAGUAGGACUCCAACCGCUAGCGUCUCGUCUCGCGGUUUCCUUUAACGACAUCCACACUCUGGCCGUCACCACCCAUCACACCGACGCUGUUAUUGAUGGUUUCUCUUCUAAAUACUGAAGUGACUGAAAUACUCAUGUUGCUGCGUUGUACUCAUCACUAGAAUCUAAGGAUUUAGAUUCCAAAGGAUCUUAACAAGGUAAGUGAAGAAUUAAAAAAUGAGAAUCAAGACUUUUUCUCUUUGUAAUUUUUUUUUUAAUGAAUAGGAAUUUCUGGAAGGUAAGAGUCAUUUGUCCCACAUCUUUGCAUUCCUCACAUUACCUCAUCAAGUGCCUUGCAGUUACCUGUUUUUCAAAAUAAGCAAAUAAAAUGAGGACUAAGAAAAGAAACUUAUAAUAAUUUUAAUGAAUGUGAUAACACUCUUUAAACUAUGUUUAUAUUUCAAACCUGUUGAGGAUUAAGAGGCUUUUAAAAGAAUUUCAGGAAUCAGCAAAUGGAGGAGAAAAGCAUUUUAGGCAAAGGAUUGUUGUUUUCUCUAGAAAUUAUGCCUGCUCUGCUUGAAUUAAGACUGACCUUGUUUAUACUUUUAAAAUAUGAAUUCUGAACAUAUGAUGCACUUUAUUUAGAGUUAUAGGCUUUGCUAUUUGUGCAAAAUUACCAAUUUACCUCAUACUUCAGUAAAUGUUAGCAAGAACGCAGCUUUGUAAAUGAAUGUUAAGGUAGCAGUCUUUUUACUCUAUUUAGCCAGUCUCAAAUCCCCUAAUUCCUUUGUGGAAGUUUCUUCCCAUCAGUAAUCUAGAAUGCUGUCAAAUUUUCUUCUGAAACCAAACCACCAAAAUGUUUUGGUUUAAAAGGCAACUUUGGAUUUCAUUUAUUUUUUCCUUAUCUGCUAUUAAAGAACAGCAGCUACUAAAGAAAAACAUGUUAGACUGAUAAACUUGAAAAGUUUUUGUACUGUGUCUCCUGAACAGCUAGUUAAAAGAAAUAAUGGCUUAAUUUUGUUAUAGUUAUGAAAAUAGUAAUUAGUGUUGAAUCUUUAGAUAAAAUAUAUUUCUCUAACAUAAAGAUUUCAAAUACCCUCUCUAUUUUACUAAUCAUAUAUAGAUGAAUCCCUAGCUUGUGUGUGUGUGUGUGUGUGUGUGUGUGUGUGUGUGUGUGUGUAUGUGUAUGCAUGGUCUAUUCACCAGACCAGGUUGCCUUUGAUAGUAAUCCCUAAAUAGAUACUAAGAUCAUCUACAAAAACAUCAUAGGUUUAAACAUUUAAGUCAAAAUGCAUGAUAUAAUGUAAUGUUCAUUUACUAAUAAUGUAUAUUUCAAGAAGAAAAGUGU
This is a non-coding RNA of Microcebus murinus (gray mouse lemur), 1589 nucleotides long. NCBI's taxonomy places the organism in Eukaryota, Metazoa, Chordata, Mammalia, Primates, Cheirogaleidae. The record is from RefSeq and is a predicted model, not a curated record.